This 274-nucleotide ribosomal RNA is filed under the name uncultured bacterium. RNAcentral describes it as "partial 16S ribosomal RNA". It matches the Rfam family "Bacterial small subunit ribosomal RNA", at positions 523 to 796 of the family's 1533-position model. The record is from RNAcentral.
AUACGGAGGGUCCAAGCGUUAUCCGGAUUCAUUGGGUUUAAAGGGUCCGCAGGCGGGAAAAUAAGUCAGUGGUGAAAGCCUACAGCUCAACUGUAGAACUGCCAUUGAUACUGUUUUUCUUGAGUAUAGAUGAAGUGGGCGGAAUAUAUUAUGUAGCGGUGAAAUGCAUAGAUAUGAUAUAGAACACCGAUUGCGAAGGCAGCUCACUAAACUAUUACUGACGCUCAGGGACGAAAGCGUGGGGAGCGAACAGGAUUAGAAACCCUAGUAGUCC